UUUCCUUUUGAUUGAGUAAAAUUGAGAGAUGUAAUAAAAUAUAAUUUGAGAGACCCAACCUUCCUGGAGAUAAUAUCCUGAAUAGGGUUAACACUUCUCCUUGAUGAUCCAGUUUCUAUGUCGAUUCUCUUUGAGGGUUGCGAGUAUUUUGCGGAGCUGAUCUUAAGGCGAUCGGACGUAACUGAACGCAGUUCAAUGUAUUAACUUUCUCAAAGAAAAAUGGUAUCAUAUUUUUAUUACAAGGCGAGGAGUCUACAACGUGUUCAAUAAGUGUUAAAGACAAAAUAUUUGGUAAGAAUAAAAUUUUAAACACUAUUUAGUUGAUCUACGAGAAGAAAGUUUUUUCUGUUCAAAGAAAAAAUAUGUGCAGUCGUAUCGUUUAUUACGUCGCAAAAAAUC
Leptopilina heterotoma is the source of this 399-nucleotide long non-coding RNA. RefSeq lists it as uncharacterized. The transcript is spliced from 3 exons. NCBI's taxonomy places the organism in Eukaryota, Metazoa, Arthropoda, Insecta, Hymenoptera, Figitidae. The record is from RefSeq and is a predicted model, not a curated record.